This 29-nucleotide non-coding RNA is filed under the name Homo sapiens (human). Lineage: Eukaryota; Metazoa; Chordata; Mammalia; Primates; Hominidae. The record is from RNAcentral.
UCAUUUGAAAAUGCUGUUGGGCUAUGAAC